This 266-nucleotide ribosomal RNA is filed under the name uncultured prokaryote. Its description in RNAcentral is "partial 16S ribosomal RNA". It matches the Rfam family "Bacterial small subunit ribosomal RNA", at positions 524 to 788 of the family's 1533-position model. The record is from RNAcentral.
UACGUAGGGUGCGAGCGUUGUCCGGAAUUACUGGGCGUAAAGAGCUCGUAGGUGGUUUGUCGCGUCGUCUGUGAAAUUCCGGGGCUUAACUUCGGGCGUGCAGGCGAUACGGGCAAUACUUGAGUGCUGUAGGGGAGACUGGAAUUCCUGGUGUAGCGGUGAAAUGCGCAGAUAUCAGGAGGAACACCGGUGGCGAAGGCGGGUCUCUGGGCAGUAACUGACGCUGAGGAGCGAAAGCAUGGGUAGCGAACAGGAUUAGAUACCCG